This 227-nucleotide ribosomal RNA is filed under the name uncultured bacterium. Its description in RNAcentral is "partial 16S ribosomal RNA". It matches the Rfam family "Bacterial small subunit ribosomal RNA", at positions 107 to 334 of the family's 1533-position model. The record is from RNAcentral.
UGAGUAACACGUAUCCAACCUGCCGUCUACUCUUGGACAGCCUUCUGAAAGGAAGAUUAAUACAAGAUGGCAUCAUGAGUCCGCAUGUUCACAUGAUUAAAGGUAUUCCGGUAGACGAUGGGGAUGCGUUCCAUUAGAUAGUAGGCGGGGUAACGGCCCACCUAGUCAACGAUGGAUAGGGGUUCUGAGAGGAAGGUCCCCCACAUUAGAACUGAGACACGGUCCAA